ACUGGUCGAGUCGGCCUGCGCGGAAGAUGUAACGGGGCUAAACCAUGCACCGAAGCUGCGGCAGCGACACUAUGUGUUGUUGGGUAGGGGAGCGUUCUGUAAGCCUGCGAAGGUGACCUGUGAGGCAUGCUGGAGGUAUCAGAAGUGCGAAUGCUGACAUAAGUAACGAUAAAGCGGGUGAAAAGCCCGCUCGCCGGAAGACCAAGGGUUCCUGUCCAACGUUAAUCGGGGCAGGGUGAGUCGACCCCUAAGGCGAGGCCGAAAGGCGUAGUCGAUGGGAAACAGGUUAAUAUUCCUGUACUUGGUGUUACUGCGAAGGGGGGACGGAGAAGGCUAUGUUAGCCGGGCGACGGUUGUCCUGGUUUAAGCAUGUAGGCUGNGUCGCAAGACCAAAGUGGGGGACCUUCGGGCCUCAUGCCAUCAGAUGUGCCCAGAUGGGAUUAGCUAGUAGGUGGGGUAACGGCUCACCUAGGCGACGAUCCCUAGCUGGUCUGAGAGGAUGACCAGCCACACUGGAACUGAGACACGGUCCAGACUCCUACGGGAGGCAGCAGUGGGGAAUAUUGCACAAUGGGCGCAAGCCUGAUGCAGCCAUGCCGCGUGUGUGAAGAAGGCCUUCGGGUUGUAAAGCACUUUCAGCGGGGAGGAAGGCGGUAAGGUUAAUAACCUCAGCGAUUGACGUUACCCGCAGAAGAAGCACCGGCUAACUCCGUGCCAGCAGCCGCGGUAAUACGGAGGGUGCAAGCGUUAAUCGGAAUUACUGGGCGUAAAGCGCACGCAGGCGGUCUGUCAAGUCGGAUGUGAAAUCCCCGGGCUCAACCUGGGAACUGCAUUCGAAACUGGCAGGCUAGAGUCUUGUAGAGGGGGGUAGAAUUCCAGGUGUAGCGGUGAAAUGCGUAGAGAUCUGGAGGAAUACCGGUGGCGAAGGCGGCCCCCUGGACAAAGACUGACGCUCAGGUGCGAAAGCGUGGGGAGCAAACAGGAUUAGAUACCCUGGUAGUCCACGCCGUAAACGAUGUCGAUUUGGAGGUUGUGCCCUUGAGGCGUGGCUUCCGGAGCUAACGCGUUAAAUCGACCGCCUGGGGAGUACGGCCGCAAGGUUAAAACUCAAAUGAAUUGACGGGGGCCCGCACAAGCGGUGGAGCAUGUGGUUUAAUUCGAUGCAACGCGAAGAACCUUACCUGGUCUUGACAUCCACAGAACUUUCCAGAGAUGGAUUGGUGCCUUCGGGAACUGUGAGACAGGUGCUGCAUGGCUGUCGUCAGCUCGUGUUGUGAAAUGUUGGGUUAAGUCCCGCAACGAGCGCAACCCUUAUCCUUUGUUGCCAGCGGUCAGGCCGGGAACUCAAAGGAGACUGCCAGUGAUAAACUGGAGGAAGGUGGGGAUGACGUCAAGUCAUCAUGGCCCUUACGACCAGGGCUACACACGUGCUACAAUGGCAUAUACAAAGAGAAGCGACCUCGCGAGAGCAAGCGGACCUCAUAAAGUAUGUCGUAGUCCGGAUUGGAGUCUGCAACUCGACUCCAUGAAGUCGGAAUCGCUAGUAAUCGUAGAUCAGAAUGCUACGGUGAAUACGUUCCCGGGCCUUGUACACACCGCCCGUCACACCAUGGGAGUGGGUUGCAAAAGAAGUAGGUAGCUUAACCUUCGGGAGGGCGCUUACCACUUUGUGAUUCAUGACUGGGGUGAAGUCGUAACAAGGUAACCGUAGGGGAACCUGCGGUUGGAUCACCU
Molecule: ribosomal RNA, 1734 nt
Filed under: Klebsiella pneumoniae BIDMC 33B
Lineage: Bacteria; Pseudomonadati; Pseudomonadota; Gammaproteobacteria; Enterobacterales; Enterobacteriaceae
Description: bacterial SSU rRNA
Rfam family: Bacterial small subunit ribosomal RNA (bases 324-1734)
Source: RNAcentral